Molecule: ribosomal RNA, 426 nt
Filed under: uncultured Comamonadaceae bacterium
Lineage: Bacteria; Pseudomonadati; Pseudomonadota; Betaproteobacteria; Burkholderiales; Comamonadaceae
Description: bacterial SSU rRNA
Rfam family: Bacterial small subunit ribosomal RNA
Source: RNAcentral
GGGGAAUUUUGGACAAUGGGCGAAAGCCUGAUCCAGCAAUGCCGCGUGCAGGAUGAAGGCCUUCGGGUUGUAAACUGCUUUUGUACGGAACGAAAAGGCUCUGGCUAAUACCUGGGGCCCAUGACGGUACCGUAAGAUUAACCACCGGCUACCCAGGGUCACACAGCCGCGGUAAUACGUAGGGUGCAAGCGUUAAUCGGAAUUACUGGGCGUAAAGCGUGCGCAGGCGGUUUUGUAAGACAGUGGUGAAAUCCCCGGGCUCAACCUGGGAACUGCCAUUGUGACUGCAAGGCUGGAGUGCGGCAGAGGGGGAUGGAAUUCCGCGUGUAGCAGUGAAAUGCGUAGAUAUGCGGAGGAACACCGAUGGCGAAGGCAAUCCCCUGGGCCUGCACUGACGCUCAUGCACGAAAGCGUGGGGAGCAAACA